AACGAACGCUGGCGGCAUGCCUAACACAUGCAAGUCGAACGAGACCUUCGGGUCUAGUGGCGCACGGGUGCGUAACGCGUGGGAACCUGCCCUUAGGUUCGGAAUAACUCCCCGAAAGGGGUGCUAAUACCGGAUAAUGUCUUCGGACCAAAGAUUUAUCGCCUUUGGAUGGGCCCGCGUUGGAUUAGCUAGUUGGUAGGGUAAAAGCCUACCAAGGCGACGAUCCAUAGCUGGUCUGAGAGGAUGAUCAGCCACACUGGGACUGAGACACGGCCCAGACUCCUACGGGAGGCAGCAGUGGGGAAUAUUGGACAAGGGGCGAAAGCCUGAUCCAGCAAUGCCGCGUGAGUGAUGAAGGCCUUAGGGUUGUAAAGCUCUUUUACCCGGGAUGAUAAUGACAGUACCGGGAGAAUAAGCCCCGGCUAACUCCGU
RNAcentral lists this ribosomal RNA (432 nucleotides) under uncultured bacterium. Its description in RNAcentral is "partial 16S ribosomal RNA". It matches the Rfam family "Bacterial small subunit ribosomal RNA", at positions 29 to 506 of the family's 1533-position model. The record is from RNAcentral.